RNAcentral lists this ribosomal RNA (252 nucleotides) under uncultured bacterium. RNAcentral describes it as "partial 16S ribosomal RNA". It matches the Rfam family "Bacterial small subunit ribosomal RNA", at positions 100 to 354 of the family's 1533-position model. The record is from RNAcentral.
CGGGGUGAGUAACGCGUGGGCAACCUGCCCUGUACCGGGGGACAACAGCCAGAAAUGGCUGCUAAUACCGCAUAAGCCUGCGGUGCCGCAUGGCACAGCAGGGAAAACCACGGUGGUACAGGAUGGGCCCGCGUCUGAUUAGUUAGUUGGCAGGGUAACGGCCUACCAAGACGAUGAUCAGUAGCCGGCUUGAGAGAGUGGACGGCCACAUUGGGACUGAGACACGGCCCAGACUCCUACGGAAGGCAGCAG